RNAcentral lists this transfer RNA (61 nucleotides) under Fruticicola koreana. Its description in RNAcentral is "tRNA-Leu". Lineage: Eukaryota; Metazoa; Mollusca; Gastropoda; Stylommatophora; Camaenidae. The record is from RNAcentral.
AAUAGCUUAGCAAACGAAUGCGAUUGAUUUAGGCUCAAUAGAUAACUUCGGUUAGUUAUUA